GGCCGCCUGAGGGGAAGGGGUCCCUAGUACGAGAGGAACGGGACGCCGCGGCCAACAGUCUACCGGUUGUCCGACAGGGCACUGCCGGGCAGCCGCGCCGUUGGGGAUAAGGGCUGAAAGCA
This 122-nucleotide ribosomal RNA is filed under the name Candidatus Bathyarchaeota archaeon. Its description in RNAcentral is "partial 23S ribosomal RNA". It matches the Rfam family "Archaeal large subunit ribosomal RNA", at positions 2726 to 2846 of the family's 2987-position model. The record is from RNAcentral. Lineage: Archaea; Thermoproteati; Candidatus Bathyarchaeota.